GGGUCAGUAGGUUGGUCGUGCCACCGGUACGUACUGGUCUCACUGAUUCCUCCUUCCUGAAGAACCGUAAUGCCAUUAUUUUGGUGUUGCGGGGAAACAGGACUGUUACUUUGAAAAAAUUAGAGUGUUUAAAGCAAGCUAACGCUUGAAUACAUUAGCAUGGAGUAAUGAAAUAGGACGAUCGAUCCUAUUUUGUUGGUUUCUAGGAUUGACGUA
Molecule: ribosomal RNA, 216 nt
Filed under: Glomeromycotina sp.
Lineage: Eukaryota; Fungi; Glomeromycota
Description: partial small subunit ribosomal RNA
Rfam family: Eukaryotic small subunit ribosomal RNA (bases 40-216)
Source: RNAcentral